Molecule: ribosomal RNA, 257 nt
Filed under: uncultured bacterium
Lineage: Bacteria
Description: partial 16S ribosomal RNA
Rfam family: Bacterial small subunit ribosomal RNA
Source: RNAcentral
UACAUGGGGUGCAAACGUUGCUCGGAAUCAUUGGGCGUAAAGCGCGCGUAGGCGGUUACUUAAGUUGGAUGUGAAAGCCCUCGGCUUAACUGAGGAAGUGCAUCCAAAACUGAGUAGCUAGAGUACGAAAAGAGGGUCGCGGAAUUCCCGGUGUAGAGGUGAAAUUCGUAGAGAUGUGGAGGAACACCAGUGGCGAAGGCGCUUUCUGGUCUGUAACUGACGCUGAGGCGGCGAAAAGCGUGGGGGAGCAAACAGGG